GACUUACUGGACCUGACUGAGGCAAAGCUUCACAAUGAAAUCUGCAAGUGAUGGCGAGGCACAGGACUGGCUACAGGAAGUGGCCAAUCGGGAAGAUAUCUAGAGCCGGACAAGCCAUGGCACAGUACUUAGAGAUACUAGAGAGAUGUGCUAACUGUUCCCAAAGAGGCCAGAAGAGGGCAUCAGAUUCCCCCGGGACUGGAGUUAAGAAAUGAUUGUCAGCCACUACCAUGAUAAGGAAGCGUUGCCGUGAACUCUGAGGCCCUCGGAACAAUGUCGAGGACCGUGGGGAUGGGAGGAAGGGAGAGAGGACAGCUUUGGGCGUCCUCAGAUUGAUCACAGUGGGAGACAGGGCUAAGUCUCCAUGUUCUCUGCACCUUGUGACUCUGCCCGGCUCUCCUCACCCGUGGUCGUCACCAAGGCUGUGCAAAGGCUAUAUUUAGCACCAUAACAGGCCGCAUAACCGACUCUGAAGAUGUCCACAUAGCAUCCCGAUAGCAGAAGGGGCUUUACUGAUCUGAUUAAGGAUGCAGAGACAGGGAGGGUAGCUAGGAUCCCUUUUUAAAAGGGAGGCAGAGGGAGAUCUCAACCACAGUUGUAAUAACAAGAAGUCUGGGUGGU
Long non-coding RNA from Grammomys surdaster, 621 nucleotides. RefSeq lists it as uncharacterized. Lineage: Eukaryota; Metazoa; Chordata; Mammalia; Rodentia; Muridae. The transcript is spliced from 3 exons. The record is from RefSeq and is a predicted model, not a curated record.